GUCCACGCCGUAAACUAUGAUUACUCGCUGUUGGCGAUAUAUUGUCAGCGGCUGAGCGAAAGCAUUAAGUAAUCCACCUGGGGAGUACGAUCGCAAGGUUGAAACUCAAAGGAAUUGACGGGGGCCCGCACAAGCGGAGGAACAUGUGGUUUAAUUCGAUGAUACGCGAGGAACCUUACCUGGGCUUAAAUGUAGAGCGACAGACUGGGGAAACUGGUCCUUCUUCGGACGAUCUACAAGGUGCUGCAUGGUUGUCGU
RNAcentral lists this ribosomal RNA (258 nucleotides) under uncultured bacterium. RNAcentral's name for it is "partial 16S ribosomal RNA". It matches the Rfam family "Bacterial small subunit ribosomal RNA", at positions 793 to 1055 of the family's 1533-position model. The record is from RNAcentral.